AUUGAACGCUGGCGGCAGGCCUAACACAUGCAAGUCGAGCGGAUGAAGGGAGCUUGCUCCUGGAUUCAGCGGCGGACGGGUGAGUAAUGCCUAGGAAUCUGCCUGGUAGUGGGGGAUAACGUCCGGAAACGGGCGCUAAUACCGCAUACGUCCUGAGGGAGAAAUUGGGGGAUCUUCGGACCUCUCGCUAUCAGAUUAGCCUAGGUCGGAUUAGCUAGUUGGUGGGGUAAAGGCCUACCAAGGCGACGAUCCGUAACUGGUCUGAGAGGAUGAUCAGUCACACUGGAACUGAGACACGGUCCAGACUCCUACGGGAGGCAGCAGUGGGGAAUAUUGGACAAUGGGCGAAAGCCUGAUCCAGCCAUGCCGCGUGUGUGAAGAAGGUCUUCGGAUUGUAAAGCACUUUAAGUUGGGAGGAAGGGCAGUAAGUUAAUACCUUGCUGUAUUGACGGUACCAACAGAAGAAGCACCGGCUAACUUCGUG
Molecule: ribosomal RNA, 484 nt
Filed under: uncultured bacterium
Lineage: Bacteria
Description: partial 16S ribosomal RNA
Rfam family: Bacterial small subunit ribosomal RNA
Source: RNAcentral